GAUGAACGCUGGCGGCGUGCUUAACACAUGCAAGUCGAACGAUGAAGCCCAGCUUGCUGGGUGGAUUAGUGGCGAACGGGUGAGUAACACGUGAGUAACCUGCCCUUAACUCUGGGAUAAGCCUGGGAAACUGGGUCUAAUACCGGAUAGGAGCGUCCACCGCAUGGUGGGUGUUGGAAAGAUUUAUCGGUUUUGGAUGGACUCGCGGCCUAUCAGCUUGUUGGUGAGGUAAUGGCUCACCAAGGCGACGACGGGUAGCCGGCCUGAGAGGGUGACCGGCCACACUGGGACUGAGACACGGCCCAGACUCCUACGGGAGGCAGCAGUGGGGAAUAUUGCACAAUGGGCGCAAGCCUGAUGCAGCGACGCCGCGUGAGGGAUGACGGCCUUCGGGUUGUAAACCUCUUUCAGUAGGGAAGAAGCGAAAGUGACGGUACUUGCAGAAGAAGCACCGGCUAACUACGUG
This 466-nucleotide ribosomal RNA is filed under the name uncultured bacterium. RNAcentral's name for it is "partial 16S ribosomal RNA". It matches the Rfam family "Bacterial small subunit ribosomal RNA", at positions 28 to 507 of the family's 1533-position model. The record is from RNAcentral.